Molecule: ribosomal RNA, 504 nt
Filed under: uncultured bacterium
Lineage: Bacteria
Description: partial 16S ribosomal RNA
Rfam family: Bacterial small subunit ribosomal RNA
Source: RNAcentral
AUUGAACGCUGGCGGAAUGCUUUACACAUGCAAGUCGAACGGUAGCACAGAGAGCUUGCUCUCGGGUGACGAGUGGCGGACGGGUGAGUAACGUCUGGGAAACUGCCCGAUGGAGGGGGAUAACUACUGGAAACGGUAGCUAAUACCGCAUAACGUCGCAAGACCAAAGUGGGGGACCUUCGGGCCUCACACCAUCGGAUGUGCCCAGAUGGGAUUAGCUAGUAGGUGGGGUAAUGGCUCACCUAGGCGACGAUCCCUAGCUGGUCUGAGAGGAUGACCAGCCACACUGGAACUGAGAAACGGUCCAGACUCCUACGGGAGGCAGCAGUGGGGAAUAUUGCACAAUGGGCGCAAGCCUGAUGCAGCCAUGCCGCGUGUAUGAAGAAGGCCUUCGGGUUGUAAAGUACUUUCAGCGGGGAGGAAGGCGGUGAAGUUAAUAACUUCACCGAUUGACGUUACCCGCAGAAGAAGCACCGGCUAACUCCGUGCCAGCCGCCGCCGUAA